Molecule: long non-coding RNA, 1461 nt
Organism: Cyprinus carpio (common carp)
Lineage: Eukaryota; Metazoa; Chordata; Actinopteri; Cypriniformes; Cyprinidae
Source: Ensembl
AUGUUUCGAAACAAACAUUACAAUGUUUCUGAUGAAGAGGCUCUUCAAGCUUUCCACAAUGCCAUUCAAUAUCUAAAAGGGGAGCAACGUACAUCAGCUCAGUUCAUAAAGUGUGACAGCCGAGAGCUCACAGAGAUCAUCCGAUGUGUAAACCGAUAUUUCAUUGAAGAAAGCAUAGAUAUAAUCGGCCUUGAAAUAGCUAAAAAAGUGAUGGAUAGUAUUAAUCAAGGCACAGAGCCUCCAAAACCAGACGGGUAUAUUUUUUCAUGGGAUGUACACUUGCUGUCUGAAGUUGAUUGCCUCAGGUUUAACUAUUCAGAGAGAAAUGAAAUAUUUAGAAAUGAGAGUGAUGAUUACAUAUUUCCAGAGUGGGAGAGAAUGGGGCAAAACUGUUAUCGCUGGUACAUUUUUCGUGCACAGGGUAAAUACAGCGGGAAGGACUAUUACGCCGUACAAUUAAAAAAGACUACUACAAUCGGGGGUAGUGUUCGUGAAUUUAAAGGUGAUUUCAGAGCCAGCGAAGAUCCUGCCCUUCUGAAACGAUUUCAAGAUGCCAAAAUAAACGGGAACUGUACUAGUGAAUUCCAGAGGACAGCUGCAUAUAGCUGGAGCAGAGAUGGCACACCUCCUGCGCACCCAUACUUCAUUGUGGCUCAACUCUACUGGCCUCGUAUUCCACUCAAUUCAAACUACCAGCUGGAACAAAUCACAGAUAAAGUAGCCCUAAGGGUACUUUACGAUGAGAUACCUGCUCUAGAGGAAAAAAGAACAACUGAUCUUAAAACAUACACUUGGUUUUUAAACAAACCAGAGAACGCGGUUAAUGACUUCCCAGAACUGAAAGAUUAUUCUGAGGGUCAGACUUUCUCUGAUGAUUACUUGCGUCCUUCAACAGAACCCCUUCAAACUGAUGGUUUUACUUAUGAGUGGUCAAGAGAAGAACAUGAAAGCACACACCAAGACUUCACCUUAAUAUUCAGAGCGAGGCCAACCUGUGAAAGAGUUCCUCAGGUCAUUACAGAGGAAACGAGAAUAAGAUUGGAUUACUGGCAGUAUAUCAAAGAGUUUGUGUUCUUUGGUGGGUCACGACGUGAAGGAACAGUGCUUGCCCCGGAUCCAGCUUGGAUUGAUCAGGCACACAGGAAUGGGGUCGCCAUAUUUGGCACAGUUUUUUUGCCACCUUUGACCCUUGGGGGAGACAAGAAAGACACGGAAGAACUGGCAAAACUGGAGAACCUACAGAAAUUAGUGGACAUUGCCCACCGAUUAAACUUUGAAGGGUGGUUUCUGAAUGUCGAAAGCUUCAAAAGAUAUGAUGAUUCUUGCUUAAAUGAUCUGAAACUCGCAAUUCAGAAAAUGGAUCUCAGGGGUAAAGAAAUUAUUUGGUAUUUACCCAUGUGUGAUGAAAUUGACCCCAAAUCAAAAGGAGUAAGGAUGACAUGUGAUAAAAAAAAUAAAUAA